This 226-nucleotide ribosomal RNA is filed under the name uncultured bacterium. Its description in RNAcentral is "partial 16S ribosomal RNA". It matches the Rfam family "Bacterial small subunit ribosomal RNA", at positions 1266 to 1500 of the family's 1533-position model. The record is from RNAcentral.
UGCGAAUCUCGAAAGCCUGUCUCAGUUCGGAUUGGAGGCUGAAACCCGCCUCCAUGAAGUUGGAUUCGCUAGUAAUCGCGCAUCAGCCAUGGCGCGGUGAAUACGUUCCCGGGCCUUGUACACACCGCCCGUCAAGCCAUGGGAGCCGGGGGUGCCUGAAGUUCGUGACCGCAAGGAGCGACCUAGGGCAAAACUGGUGACUGGGGCUAAGUCGUAACAAGGUAGC